GUGCUGUGAUGAUUGUCAACACAUCAUUCUGAUGUAGAUGAAGAACUUUCCAAUUACUGAGCACA
Molecule: small nucleolar RNA, 65 nt
Organism: Protopterus annectens (West African lungfish)
Lineage: Eukaryota; Metazoa; Chordata; Ceratodontiformes; Protopteridae
Product: small nucleolar RNA SNORD63
Exons: 1
Source: RefSeq, a predicted model, not a curated record